This is a long non-coding RNA of Vicia villosa (hairy vetch), 1526 nucleotides long. RefSeq lists it as uncharacterized. The transcript is spliced from 4 exons. The record is from RefSeq and is a predicted model, not a curated record. NCBI's taxonomy places the organism in Eukaryota, Viridiplantae, Streptophyta, Magnoliopsida, Fabales, Fabaceae.
UUUUAUCAAACCUCAUCCUUCUCCCACUACUAUGCUUUGCAUCAACAAACAAAACAAUCCUCACCCUGCAUAUUUCAAAACCUCACUCUGAAAAUUAGAAUUUCAAACCACUAUCACAACCCUAAUUUCUAUCCUAUAUAAACCCGCCCUUUCACUCUAAAUUUGAGGCACAAUAAAGUUCCUCUACAAACUAUCCAUAAAUCUCUGCUAAAGAAAAACAACAACCUCAUAGCUCAAAUCCUUCUUCAUCAAAAAACCUUCACUUCUCAAUCUCCCUUCAACAACAAGCUCAUAAAAUUACUAUCAAAAGCCUUCACUCUCUUAAACUUUACCCUCAAAAAACAACUGCCAUACCCAUAUUUCUCUUUCAUUUUUCCAGAAAAAAACAGCCGCUAUAUUUGAGAUUCUUCCACUUUCCGUCUAACCAAAAACACAAGCUACUUCUACCGGAUAACCACUAAAACAAUGGCUUUAAAGUGAUGUUUUUAUCACUGUUAUCUAAUUUUCAGGACUGAGUGCUCUACUACUCGAGCAUUUAGUCAGAGCAGGAAUAAAGGGUCUGAUUGCUCAGUUGUGGAAGGAGCAUUUGGUUAACAUGGGCCUUUCAGGCUCACCAUGUGAGGUUUGGUCAAAAACCAUUAAGCAAAGGUUCACCUUGUCUUCCUUUGGUAUUGAUUCAACUAAAUUUCCAUAGUUCAAGAUCAAUAAAUUCUUCAUUGCAAGAGAGAGCUAUGCAGAUAAGAAAUCCUCUUUUGGAGUAUGACAAUGACUCUAACUCCACAGCUAAUUUUUCUGGAGCCAUACACAAAUAUCCGACUCAACAUAUUGGAUGAUUAAGAAUAUAUGCGGUUAUGCUUCUAUUAGAAAGGAGCAUAUCACUAACAUAUAAUACAAAGAUAUCCAUUGAGGUGUGUAAAUAAUAUAUGAAUUAAUAAAAAAAAGGAAAUUUUCAUGUAUAUUUGCUUUAAUUUUUUUUAAUAAGCAAUGGAAUUAACGGGAGUAAAAGUGAUGCUCCGCCCCGAAACAAAACGGAAAGCUCCUACCUCUCAAAAUACGAGAGCGGUAGGCUAUUCCAAGUAUAAAAAUUACAUAAAGACUCUUUCUUAUAGAAGGAGCAAAGCCACCACCAAAAAGAAUAAACUAUAUCUGACAUACACUCAAUUAAGCUCAAAGGUUCUUCUUUAAAAUUAACGGCAUUGUGCUUAAGCCAUAAGCUCCAAGUCGUAGCAAGCCAAAUCAUCACAGCUAUUGUCCUCUUAGUCAAACAAAUAAAACUAGAACAAUUGUUGAAAAUAUCCAUGAACUCCUCCAAAGACAAGACAUCACUAACACCAAGCCACAUUUACACCCUUCGCCAAAUCCGUAAAGAUACUUCGCAAGAACCGAACAAGUGCAAUAAAGAUUCUUCCUCUAUUAAGCACAAGACACACAUGGAAUCAUUUCCUUCUAUCAUAAUACCCCUUCUCACCAAAAGAUCUUUUGUUGCAAGUCUAUUGUGGAUAAAUCUCUAUCCAAAGAAGAGGAUU